RNAcentral lists this unclassified non-coding RNA (548 nucleotides) under Leishmania donovani. Its description in RNAcentral is "gene:unknown". The record is from RNAcentral. Lineage: Eukaryota; Euglenozoa; Kinetoplastea; Trypanosomatida; Trypanosomatidae.
GAUGACAAAAAAUGUUUCAUUGUAGUGUGCGCUGAGCUGGACGCCUGCUGAGAAAUCGAACAUAUCGCAAAUCACUCCACUCUGAGGGCUGCCGAGUGCGCGUGAGGUGCUGCACUGUGGAUGGUGGGGGGAGGGGGGAUGGGCGCGGGAGCUGUGGUGGCAUGUCUACUUCGGCCCUGCAGUGCCGACGGCCGGCGCGCACUGCUUGCCCUGCUCGUGUGGCGCUGUUAUAAUCCCGUGCCGCGCAUCUGAUCUGUGAGCGGGACGAUUCAUGCACAGCGAAGAUGCGAGGGGCGCCGCCGGCCCUGUGUUGCGCGUACGCUGGAUGCACCGUGCUGUCAUGAUUUCAACAAUGCAAUGUAUCUCCGUUACCGGACACGGUCGCCGACGACAACCAUUGAUUCAAAUAACCAAGAUCUGCUAUGAGUCUGUGUGUGCGCAGUGCGCUGCAGCGUGUUUGCCCCUUGCUCCUCCCUGGUCCUCCCUACUGCCCCUUCCUCCUCCCCCACACCCUACUCGCGCUUGUGUGUGCGCCGGCCCAUCCGCAG